UAACAGUUUGAUCAUGGCUCAACCAUGGACGGUAAGUCGGNGAUGCCUAAUACAUGCAAGUCGAGCGAAUGGAUUGAGAGCUUGCUCUCAAGAAGUUAGCGGCGGACGGGUGAGUAACACGUGGGUAACCUGCCCAUAAGACUGGGAUAACUCCGGGAAACCGGGGCUAAUACCGGAUAACAUUUUGAACUGCAUGGUUCGAAAUUGAAAGGCGGCUUACGGCUGUCACUUAUGGAUGGACCCGCGUCGCAUUAGCUAGUUGGUGAGGUAACGGCUCACCAAGGCAACGAUGCGUAGCCGACCUGAGAGGGUGAUCGGCCACACUGGGACUGAGACACGGCCCAGACUCCUACGGGAGGCAGCAGUAGGGAAUCUUCCGCAAUGGACGAAAGUCUGACGGAGCAACGCCGCGUGAGUGAUGAAGGCUUUCGGGUCGUAAAACUCUAGUUGUUAGGGAAGAACAAGUGCUAGUUGAAUAAGCUGGCACCUUGACGGUACCUAACCAGAAAAGCCAACGUGCUAACUACGUUGCCAAGCAAGCCGCNGUUAAUACAGUAAGNUUGCAA
Molecule: ribosomal RNA, 566 nt
Filed under: uncultured bacterium
Lineage: Bacteria
Description: bacterial SSU rRNA
Rfam family: Bacterial small subunit ribosomal RNA
Source: RNAcentral